CCUAGCCGUAAACGAUGGAUACUAGGCGCUGUGCGUAUCGACCCGUGCAGUGUUGUAGCUAACACGUUAAGUAUCCCGCCUGGGGAGUACGUUCGCAAGAAUGAAACUCAAAGGAAAUGACGGGGGGCCAUGAAACAAGUAGCUGGUAAAUUAAAAUUAGAACUGNAUUAGAAGCCUUUGCACAAUUUGCUUCUGAUCUCGAUAAAGCUACUCAGAAUCAAUUGGCAAGAGGUAGCCCUUAUAAAAAGAAAACUGAUUCUUGAACCCCUUUUACGCUCAUGUCACGUCGAGGUACUGCAGAAAAAAAACAGCAAAAUCCGAUCCAAUUUAUCGUA
RNAcentral lists this non-coding RNA (335 nucleotides) under Nicotiana sylvestris (wood tobacco). RNAcentral describes it as "Bacterial small subunit ribosomal RNA". It matches the Rfam family "Bacterial small subunit ribosomal RNA", at positions 795 to 1287 of the family's 1533-position model. The record is from Rfam by way of RNAcentral. Lineage: Eukaryota; Viridiplantae; Streptophyta; Magnoliopsida; Solanales; Solanaceae.